Molecule: non-coding RNA, 1368 nt
Organism: Paramuricea clavata
Lineage: Eukaryota; Metazoa; Cnidaria; Anthozoa; Malacalcyonacea; Plexauridae
Source: the annotation of a GenBank genome assembly
CUUCAUAAGAUUUUAUUCACUACAAACUUGUUUCGUAUGACAAACAAUGCUUGCCACACUCAUCAGGUGAAUUUAAAUGCGCGACAUUUAAAUUCACUUGAUGAGCGCGGCAAAGAAAAUAUUUAAGAAAAAUUUAGGAAUUGUCAAGUGUUCUUUGUCAAAAGUCAUAUCAAUUUAAAGUUGAAAUAUAUUUGGAUAUGUGGUGACAAAUUCCUACUUCAUCUACAAACUACUCAUCUACCGGGUGUCCCAAAAAAAAGUACUCCCGUUUGAUUUAUAAUAACUUCUAAACAAGUAAAGCUAUCAAAUAGAAAUGACUUGCGUUAAAUAGAGGAAGGACUAACUUAGAUUUUGAUAUAUUACAGUUGUAUUUUACUUAAAAAUUCACGGAGAUAUUAAUGUUCAAAAUCGGUGGCUUAUUUUGGGAUGUGUCUAAAAUUAGCGAAAAUCGGCAUAUCAAAUAUUAACUCCAGCGUUUGUCUGCUUAAUGACAUAUCAGGCUAACUUGUAUUUCAGCGAAUUCUCGUUAGGGUUUGUAAGGGAUAUGGCGUAGAUUUAUAUAUCUUACAUAACACUUACUUGUAAGUCUUAGCUCAUUGUUUCCUGAAAUAUGAACGUUCGAAAUUAUGCAAGUAUUUAAUAGGUUUUUACAAACUUAAAAGUAGAUGAAAGACCAUGGCAAGGCAGGCGCUUAAAUAGCUUUUCUUAAAUAGCCUAAUUUUUUUAUGUUUUUCAUGGGUUCAAAACAGUUGAUUAUUUCUUGGUUAUAGCAAGAUGAAUAUUAUUCUUUAAUGAAGGAAAUAAUAUUGCUUUUUGCAAAUACACAUCACAGUAUCAACGCUACUAUUUUGUUACGUUUUGUUCCAAAAAUGUUGGAUGUCUCUGGGGAGUUGCUUGUUAUGUCUUAUGCAUGGAGUUGUAUGGUUUGAUUGUGUUUCAUUAUCUGUUUAUUCUGAACUUGCCAAGAUUAAGAAAAGGCAAAAGAGUUUGGGUGUUCUUAACAAGAUUUCAGAACGUUGCAGAAGUUAGAAGAGCUUCACAAUUCCAUUGUGACAGCAUGCCCUAAUUCUGAACUACGAACGAUUCAUGACGAUCCUUCGAAAUGCAGUGGUCUCAUGAAAUAAGGAAACGUAUUCGUGCUAGGAACGAACGCGGAUUUCGGACGAAUAAAUCUUGCUUGUAUUUUGUAGAUAUAAUAAUACUUUGUUUCAUAAUAAACAAUUUCUCAAGUGUCAUUUAUUUACUGGUAAUAGUGCAUGUUUCAGUCGGGCAAAUCUUGAUUAAUAUUUGAUACGCCGUUUUUUGCAUAUUUCAGACACAUCCAAAAAUAUGCUCCCGAUUUUAAACAUUAAUAUCUCCAUGAAUUUU